Molecule: long non-coding RNA, 749 nt
Organism: Sycon ciliatum
Lineage: Eukaryota; Metazoa; Porifera; Calcarea; Leucosolenida; Sycettidae
Exons: 2
Source: RefSeq, a predicted model, not a curated record
UUAGUGUUAGCCAAACCUUGCCGCAUUUUGUCCGUCCUCUUUUCUUGUAGUUGUAGCAUCUUCCAACAUUGUGAUUUGUCUUUUAUGGCCUAGUAGUUGAGAGAUUUGUAUCUUGCCAGCUCAGCCGGCUUCUAUGUCCUGCUGAAUAGCAAGAAUUGAGCGUCUGUGACGCCAGCGCCGAAACUGCGCCGACUUGGCGACGUCAUUCGUCACGGACCAGGAUCCAGUUGCAAACCUGUCCCAUUGUAAGGGCCUGAAAUGGAGCGGUCUGGACGAAGGGGAUUACUAGUAUUGUGGAAGCUUUUUGAAGCAUGCGUUGGUUGCUCUUCACACGCUAGAUUGUAAUGGUUGGGAGCACGGAAAGCGACUACAAGCAUUGAGUGUACUCAGUUCCAAAUUCAUCUGCCUUCUCUAGAAGUUUGUGCGCUCAAUGUGCAACGUGCCUCGUCUCAAUAGUGACGACUGGGAGGUACACGACAUACUUUGCCCAUACUGUCCACGGGAGAGACUGAUUUUCACACAUACAUGUAUAAUAUGUAUAUUACCGUGAAAUCCAGAGUUACAGUAGAAACGCUUUUGAUUCCUCUCAAGUGUGUGUACAUGUAUAUUCUGUAGGACUCAGCAAUCCCUGAAAUGUUUACUAACCCUUACCUUAGGACUAGUUAGGAGGGCUUCGUGAUUGGCCUGAGAACUUUUGUAAUCUCAAUUUGACAAACCCUGACCAUAACACAAUGGCGAUCAUAACUGGA